Long non-coding RNA from Humulus lupulus (European hop), 1054 nucleotides. RefSeq lists it as uncharacterized. The transcript is spliced from 3 exons. The record is from RefSeq and is a predicted model, not a curated record. Lineage: Eukaryota; Viridiplantae; Streptophyta; Magnoliopsida; Rosales; Cannabaceae.
ACCAAAUAAAAAACCACCAAAAAAAUUUCAUUUCCCUCUCAAUAUUCUUCACAUUCUUCCUCUCUAUCUCACCAAAAAAAUUUCAUUUCCCAUACUCGGAAACCCCCAAACCCCAGACACAGAAUCCCCAAUUGAGAGACCCAUACCCAAACCACAGUUAUAUAAGGAGUUGUUCUCUCUCCCUACGCCUCUCCUCUCCUCUGCAAUAUCCCUCUCCCUACGCCGAGCUAGCCUCCUCUGCAAUCUCUCUCCCUACGCUUGUCCUCUCCUCUGCAAUCUGCAAUCCAACUCAAACCAGGCGAACCAGAUGCGAACCACGAGCUGAUCUCCUAAAGCCGAGUUGAGCCCAGAUGCCUCUUCCCUCCCUAAAGUCGAUCCCAGAUGCCUCUUCUCCCCUAAAGUAGAGCCGAGAUGAUCUCCUAGCUUGAACCCAAACUGGCGUUCAACUCAACUCCAUUCUUGAACCCAAACCCAACGCCAAGCCUGUUCACAUCUCGUACAUAUAUAUAUAUUGUUUAUAUAUAUAUAUAUAUUAUGAGUCUCUGUAUUGGGAAUUAGAACUGACACAAUUGAGUCUACUUUGUGCUAACUCCUCCUAUAUCUAUCUUUUUCAAUCACAAGCUGCCUGGAUUCGCAUGAUCGAGGAGGUCCUCAGAUUUGCUACAAUCGAUUUGGAGGAGAAGAAACUAAAGCAGUUGGUGGAUUUUGGAUGUAGGAUUGGAGGGAGCUCUGGCUUCUACUCAUGGAUUGACCCCAAAUAAAAGGCGUGGGGUUCGCGGCAUCUCGGCUGUGGGUGGGUUCUCGGCAGUGAGGUUUGGGAUGUGUUGAUGAAUGGUCUGCGAUUUGCCUCUUCUUUCAGAAUUAACAUUAUCCUUGUUUGAAGACUUGAGAUGUUUUUGUUGCACUGUUAUUUGUUUCAAUCAAAAUAAUGGGCAUGCUUGCCUCUAUCUAUGCUUUGCUUUCUCUUUUGUUUCAACAAACGGUUAGAAACUUAUCUUUAUUUAUUAACAGGAAAUAUUAAUGAAAGUUCUUUCUUAUAAACCUUUAUAGGGAA